RNAcentral lists this non-coding RNA (31 nucleotides) under Rattus norvegicus (Norway rat). Lineage: Eukaryota; Metazoa; Chordata; Mammalia; Rodentia; Muridae. The record is from RNAcentral.
UGAAAAGGAUCAAAACUUCUAUAUCCCCCUC